Molecule: long non-coding RNA, 207 nt
Filed under: Mytilus galloprovincialis (Mediterranean mussel)
Lineage: Eukaryota; Metazoa; Mollusca; Bivalvia; Mytilida; Mytilidae
Source: RNAcentral
GUGUAACGUGUACACCGGGUAAGCGUGUCUGUUUCUAUUUAGAAUGAGUACGUUACCAGUUUGAUACUGGAUCCAAAAUUGCUCUAUUUACAAAACAUAUAUAACAAAUAAUCUUUAUUCAAAAAAUAACGUCAAUGAACCAAAAUAUGUACAACUGCUCUUUGCAAUCUUCAAUAAACUAUCCUAAGCUAUUCUACUUCAAAUAUA